GCAAAACAAAGUCAGGCAGCAUUGCUGACAACAGUACGUCCUUCCCGAUGUGCGUAACACAUUCUAUGUAUGUUUUCAACAGAAGGGUAUUGGAAUGUCACCACCCACCCCGAGAGUUUCCAGUGCACCUGAUCCCACAGUCACCAAUGCAGAUGUAAGGAAAGUGCUGAAAGAGUGGUAAUCAAACUCGGAAAUUCAAGAUUCUACAGGUGCUGGAAAUCUGGAGCAACACAGAAAAUGCUGGAAGAACACAGCAAGUCAGGCAGCAUCUACACUUGCUGACCACUUUAUUAGGUGCACCGCUUGGAGAUUGUUUGGUGGUUGCGGCGCUCUGCAGUCUCCCAGGUGAUUCCAGGAGUCAGAAGCAACGUGCGAGAACCUCGAGGCAAGAAGGUUGCGAGCUGAUGGUCAAAUCCAUUUCGCUGAUUAAAGCUUCCGUUGUUUGCCAACUAAAGUGUCGAGGGAGAUUGAAACGCCGGCUGCCUGCCUUUUUAUCGCUGGGGGUUCACUCUCCUGCCAAAGAGGGAGACUGCCUUUUUAUUGCUGGUGAGAUCACUUUGCCAUGGAGAGGGGAGAAUAUUGCCCAAGUUUUUUUUGCAUUUUGGAUGUGGACUUGCACUUUUUUCAGUCUUACGGUUUUGUUUUUGUUUUCUAAGUUUUUCACCCAAUCUUUCUCGUUUUUUUUGUGUGUGUGCAUGGGAGGGGGAUUUGGGGGUCAAUGUGCCUGUCGCAUUUUUUUGUUUGUUUUUUUUGUGCAGGGAA
Molecule: long non-coding RNA, 762 nt
Organism: Mobula hypostoma (lesser devil ray)
Lineage: Eukaryota; Metazoa; Chordata; Chondrichthyes; Myliobatiformes; Myliobatidae
Exons: 3
Source: RefSeq, a predicted model, not a curated record